AUUGAACGCUGGCGGCAGGCCUAACACAUGCAAGUCGAGCGGAUGAAGGGAGCUUGCUCCUGGAUUCAGCGGCGGACGGGUGAGUAAUGCCUAGGAAUCUGCCUGGUAGUGGGGGAUAACGUCCGGAAACGGGCGCUAAUACCGCAUACGUCCUGAGGGAGAAAGUGGGGGAUCUUCGGACCUCACGCUAUCAGAUGAGCCUAGGUCGGAUUAGCUAGUUGGUGGGGUAAAGGCCUACCAAGGCGACGAUCCGUAACUGGUCUGAGAGGAUGAUCAGUCACACUGGAACUGAGACACGGUCCAGACUCCUACGGUAGGCAGCAGUGGGGAAUAUUGGACAAUGGGCGAAAGCCUGAUCCAGCCAUGCCGCGUGUGUGAAGAAGGUCUUCUGAUUGUAAAGCACUUUAAGUUGGGAGGAAGGGCAGUAAGUUAAUACCUUGCUGUUUUGACGUUACCAACAGAAUAAGCACCGGCUAACUUCGUG
RNAcentral lists this ribosomal RNA (484 nucleotides) under uncultured bacterium. RNAcentral describes it as "partial 16S ribosomal RNA". It matches the Rfam family "Bacterial small subunit ribosomal RNA", at positions 30 to 507 of the family's 1533-position model. The record is from RNAcentral.